This 8218-nucleotide long non-coding RNA is filed under the name Homo sapiens (human). Its description in RNAcentral is "non-protein coding lnc-MUC20-67:11". The record is from RNAcentral. Lineage: Eukaryota; Metazoa; Chordata; Mammalia; Primates; Hominidae.
CCCCACCGUGCAUUAUAACAUGGACGGCAUUCCCACCAGCUACGAGGGGCAGGUCCUGAGGCACGGGAAUGGCCAGGAUCAGAUUGUGCCCAGCCUGUACGCCUGUGGGGAGGCCGCCUGUGCCUCUGCACAUGGUGUCAACCGCCUCGGGGCAAACUCGCUGUUGGACCUGGUUGUCUGGUCAGGCAUGUGCCCUGAGCAUCGCAGAGUCGUGCAGGCCUGGAGAUAAAGUCCCUCCAAUUAAACCAAAUGCUGGGGAAGAAUCUGUCACGAAUCUUGACAAAUUGAGAUUUGCUGAUGGAAGAAGCAUAAGAACAUCGGAACUGCGACUCAGCAUGCAGAAGGGCUGCUGGCUCGUGUCACGUUCACCACCAGACCCCACAUCAGGAGUCCCGCCAGGGGUGUGGGGAGGCAGUGCUGCCUGGUUGGCCGUGGAGCCGUAUGGAACGUGGUGCCUCACAGGCAGUCUGCUUGGCGUCCUGGACCCUGGCUGUAUCCCGCUGGAAAGGAUGUUCAACGCAAAAUCAUGCUGCCGUGUUCCGUGUGGGAAGCUUGUUGCAAGAAGGAAUGGUCUGGAACACGGACCUGGUGGAGACCCUGGAGCUGCAGAACCUGAUACCGUCAAUGGAGCAGAGGCGGGGAAGGAGUCACGGGGCGCGCACGCCGGGGAAGACUACAAGUUUCAAGCCUGCCCUGUGGAGGAAAUGCCAGUUUAUUAAAUAACAAGUGCAGAUUGAUGAGUAUGAUCACUCCAAGCCCAUCCAGGGGCAACAGAAGAAGCCCUUUGAGGUGCACUGGAGGAAGCACACCCUGUCCUAUGUGGACGUCGGCACUGGGAAGGUGUCACUGUGGAAUAUAGACCCAUAAUUGACAAAACUUUGAACGAGGCUGACUGUGCCGAGUACAUUGAAGGGGGAUUGGCACCCAGUGGCCGGGGAGCGUGGCACUUACCUUUGUCCCUUGCUUCAUUCUUGUGACAAGAUAAAACUGGGCACAGCUGUUAAAUAAAAUAUUGCACAGCCAGAGGACAACACAUCACACACAAGAAACAGUUGUGCUCAUGUGAUGGGGGCCUCAGCACUAGGAAGGAGUGGACUGUUGUCCGUGGUUCCCUGCAGACUGGCAGGAGCAGAUUCCAAAGGCACAGGAAGAAGCUUGCAGUACAAAGAUAAAAAUCUAAAGUGGUUGCUGUGGAGGACAGGGGUCAGUGGUGGAAGUGAGACCGAAAUAGACUCUGAAGUAAUAUCUGGACUUUGAAAUUGAAAUCAAGAGAGGAGAGAGGAGCCCCCACAAAGGACUGACCCAGGGCAAUAACGGGGAAAGAACUUGGAGGUACAGAGGCAGACCUUGGUGUUUCCCAGGGUGUGGGACGUUGGGGGUAGUAAGGCUGGAGUGGGUAGAGGAAAGGGCUAGGGUGACACCACGGGGUAUUAGGUGGAACUGAGGGAAACAGAAAUAGGAGCAGAGAAAAGGGAAUGAGAACGGGAAAGAGGGAGGUGGGAAAUAGAAGAGGGAGUUUCCAAACAGCAACAACAACAGAAACAAGUGUUUUGGGUUGUGGAGCGUUUGCCCUGCAGAGAGCUGGGUCUGCCCUUGUCCCUUUUGGGGAUUAUGAAUCAGUGCGUGGAGCCGCGCGGCCACAUCCACCAUUCACUUGCACUUGAGUGACAGCCAAGCUACAGUCAUGAAUACGUUUCUUUCUUUUUACAGAAGAACAGUAAAUUGACUUUAUUCCUUAUAAAGGUGAUACUGGAGAAUGUGACAUAGAUUUGCUGGCACAUGGGUUUCCUAUGAGCAAACCCCAGAAUUGGACACACGUAUCUGGUGCUGCAUUGGAAGUUGCCUGUUCACUCUGCCUGGUCAUAUGCAGAAAACCGAAACUAGACCCCUUGCUGACACUUAUACAAAAAUUAACUCAAGAUGCAUUAAAGAUUUAAACGUGAGACCUAAAACCAGAAAAAUCCUAGAAGAAAACCUAGGCAACACCAUUGAGGACGUAAGCAUGGGCAAAGACUUCAUGACUAAAACACCAAAAGAAAUGGCAACAAAAGCCAAAAUUGACAAAAGGUAAGACCAGUGAAUCCGAAGGUGGACCACCAGCUGAGGGACUAGAUUCCAGACUGAAUAGAACAACUUUCCCUGUCUCUCCACAUAAAGUGUGUUUGUUUUUCCUCUUACAGGUUUCCUUAAUGACAACAAAAAAGGGAGUAAUCCUACCCACUGUAAGAGUCAUGACUCUUGAUUGCAGCUGACAGAAACUCAUGACAGCCUGCUUUAGAUGAAGGGGGAGAGAAGGACUGGAAGAAUCUUGGAGUUGGGAAUGUCACACGUAAUUGAAGGAAGAACAAGAAAACUAUAGUAAAGAACCCUGGGGUGGUGAUGUAGUCAUGGGCCAAGUGUCCUGGAACCCUGGGGUGGUGAUGUAGUUGUGGGCCAAGUGUCCUGGAACCCUGGGGUGGUGAUGUAGUCAUGGGCCAAGUGUCCUGGAACCCUGGGGUGGUGAUGUAGUUGUGGGCCAAGUGUCCUGGGUUUUGGGUGGAGAAAGAGUCCCCUAGAUAAGUUAUUAGGUGGGUGCAAAGGUAAUUGCAGUUUUUCCCAUUAUUUUAAUUGCGAAAACAGCAAUUACCUUUGCACCAACCUGAUGGAGUCCCCCUUGCCAUGCUUCUCUCUGUGAAAAACCCCAAGCCGAAGUCAGCAUAACAUCCACAGGACUCUAUGUUUGCAAAAGCCAGCUUAGCUAUAUUACAUGUAUAAGCACAUUUUUUCAAUAAGUCAGCCUUAGCUUACUGUAACUUUUUAACUUUAUAAACUUAGUAUUUUAACUUUUUAAACUUUUUUGUUGAAAACUAAGACACAAAAACACAUGUUAGCCUAGAUCCACACAGGGUCAGGGUCAUCAGUAUCACUGUCUUCCACCUCCACAUUUUGUCUCUCUGGAAGGUCUUCAGGGGCAAUAACACACAUGGAGCUGUCAUCGCCUGUGGUAACAAUGCCUUCUACAGUACUUCCCAAAGGGCCUGCUAGUUCACUUAAUUCUUUUAUAGAGAGAAGGAGUACACUCUAAAACACUGAUCAAUAGUAUAUUAUAGUAAAUACAUAAACCAGGAACACAUUUAUUAUCAUUAUCACGUAUUGUGUAUUGUACAGAAUGGUGUGUGCUGUGCUAUCCAGGAACACAUUUAUUAUCAUUAUCAAGUAUUGUGUACUGUACAGAAUGGUGUGCGCUGUGCUUUUAUGCAAGUGGCAGCACAGUAGCUUUACACGAGCAUCACUAGACACAUGAGUAGCAUUGCACUCGGCAACAGGAAUUUUUUCAGGCCCAUUAUUAUAAUCUUAUGGGACCGCAUCCUAUAUGCAGUUUGUCAUUGACCAAAAUGUCCUUAUGCGAUGCAUGACUAUAUUUGCAAAGGACUAGUAUCUAGAAUACAUUUAAAAGUCUUAAAAUAGUAACAAAACAAAGAAUGCAAUUAGAACAUGAGCAAAAGAUACAAAGCAACAUUUCACUGGAGAAGAUAUACAGAUUGCAAAUAAGCACAUGAAAAGAUGUUUGAUACCAUUAGGGAAACGCUUCUUUAAACCAGGAGAUAUCACCAUUUGGGAGGCUGAGGCAGUGGAUCACCUGAGGUCAGGAGUUUGAGACCAGCCUGGCCAACGUGGUGAAAACUCGUCUCUACUAAAAAUACAGCAAUUAGCUGGGUGUAAUAGUAGCCACCUGUAAUCCCAGCUACUGGGGAGGCUGAAGCAGAAGAACCUCUUGAACCCGGGAGGCAGAGGUUGCAGUGAGCUGAGAUCGUACCACUGCACUCCAGCCUGGGCGAUAGAGUGAGACUCUGUCUCAAAAAAUAAAAUAAAAUAAAUAAAAAGAUUAGAUAAUCUGCAAAGUUCCUGUGAGCGCUGUCAUUUUGUCACUCUGGUUUUUCAGAUUCUUCCCCUGGAGGCUGGAGUUUCCAGGAUGUCAAAAUUACCUCUGCUUGGGUGAGCUAUUUCAAGCAGCUGGGAUACCUGUGUCACUCCUGCUGUCUGCCAGUGACUGCCCAGGUGUCUGCUGGUUCCUCCCCAGGAGUAGGGAGGAACCAGGUGGGCUGGCUGGGAUGGGUGGAUAUUUAAAGACCAGGCCUUGGACGCUGCAGGUCCUCCUCCUCCUGCUGUGGCUGAGCCUUGGGGUGAAGACAGGUGAGGAGCUAGGCUGGCAUCUGUGCUACAGGUCAAAGAGACCCCAAUCUCUGCUCUCUCAUUCAUUCAAUCAAUUAAUCUGUUUUGUCUCUGGCAUGACCCACCUCCUGUGACCCAGCAUUCAUUAAUUCAUUAAUCAAAUAAUUCAUGUAUUCAGACACUUAUUAAGUACCGACUAUAUGGUUGAUGUGGCUUCUUUGUGUAUCCAGUUUUAUAUCUGGAUAAGAUGUCUUUGGAUCAGGAGAAUCACUUGAACCUGGGAGACAGAGGUUGCAGUGACCCGAGAUUGCGCCACUGCGCUCUAGCCUGGGUGACAGAGGGAGACUCCAUCUCAGGAAAAAAAAAAAAAAAAAACCCAAAGCUAUUUAUUGUGGAAAAAUUCAAACACAUGCAAAAGUAAAGAGAAUAGGAUGAUGAACCCAAGGUACCAGUUGGCCACCUUCAAUAUUAUCAACAUUAUGCUCAAGCUCUUAUCCCCCAUAUUUAAAAAAUAUAACCACAAUACCUUAUCAGAGCCAAAACAAAUAUGGUCGCACACCUGUAAUCCCAACACUUUGAGAGACUGAGGCGGGCAGAUCGCCUGAGGCCAGAAGUUCAAGACCAGCCUGGCCAACAUGGUGAAACCCCUGUGUCUACUAAAAAUACAAAAAUUAGCUAGGCAUGGUGGCGGGUACCUGUAAUCCCAGCUACUCGGGAGGCUGAGGCAGGAGAAUCACUUGAACCAGGGAGGUGGAGGUUGCAGUGAGCCGAGAUUGCGCCACUGCACUCCAGCCUGGGCAACAGAGCAAGACUCUGUCUUUAAAAAAAAAAUUAAUUAAUUAAUUAAUUUAAAAAACUACUUACUAUCGUUUAAUACCUAUCAGUGUUCAUAUUUCCCCCACUUGUCAAAAAUAUCUUGUUAUUCAGCAGCAAAGCAGAAGAGAAAAAGAAAAAAUAAGAUCAGAUGUGGUGGCUGAUGCCUGUAGUCCCAGCACUUUGGGAGGCCAAGGUGGGAGGAUCACUGGAGCUCAGGAGUUUGAGACCAGCCUGGGUACAAUAGCGAGACUCAGUCUCUACAAAAAAAAAAUUUGUUUAAAAAUUAGCAAGGUGUGUUGAUGUUCACCUAUAGUCCCAGCUAUUCAGAAGGCUGAAGUGAGAAAAUUGCUUGAGCCCCAGAAGUUGCGGCUGCAGCGAGCUGUGACCAUACCACUGCAUUCCAGUCUGCUGCACCGAGUGAGACCAUGUCUCAAAAAAAAAAAAAAACCAGGCAGCUGCUCCCAACCCCAGAACCUUUGCUGUCUUGGGACGGAUCACCGCUGCAAGAGGGGAAGUUGCUACUGUGAUGAAUUCUGCCAUGUGGCACCAGACUGCCACCCAGACCACAGUGUCCUCUGCAACCCUGGUAACUCACAUACAGGCCCGAUUCCACCUACAGCAAAGCUGGAUGCGAUGGCUGGCAGAGGCAAACCCUUUGCCUGCACUUCAGGCCAAAGCCGGGAUGUGGCCUAGAUGGUUCCUAAGGUCCCUGACAAUCCUGAGAUCUUGCAUCUUGUCUAUUUCAGGUCAAAGGUGCCUACAUGCUCCUUCUAGCUUUGUUUCCCUGAUGUUCCUUGCCACCUGCUACUCCUCUCUGAGCUACUUUUCCAGGUUCCACAGGGAGAGGUUCAGCUGUCCGUGGUAGACAUGAGGGUAGAGAAUGAGGUGGUUGGGUUCCACUUACCUUUCUAUCAUCUUGCAGUAUGGAUGUCUCUUGACUGGUACCGUGUAGACUUUUGAGGGCACACAGGAGUCUGCAGAGAGAUACUGGGGACAUUGAGCAGCAGCAGUGGGGUUGGGAGGCAGAAAUGAGGACAGGAACAUUUACCUUGUGUUUCUCUCAGCUUCUCAGAUGACCAAGAUGGUGCUGCAGAUGGUGCUGAGGAUGGAGAACCCACCAAGCCCCGCUAGGAGCCACCUAGACUGGAUGCAGAGCAUGGUGAAAGCCACUUUCUCAGCCUUUCUGAGACUCUGUAUCCUCAUGUGUAUCCUAGAGUUUGUCUGAUAGGGCUAUAGUGAGAAUUAAUUGAAUUAAGUAUAGUGAGAAUUAAGCCAGGUCUGGAGAGGCCUGGCUACUGGUGAGUGAGGUAACUGAGAUCAGGUAUGGAGAGGACUGGCUCCUGGUGAGUGAGUUAAUUGAGAUGAGGUAUGGAGGGACCUGUCUCCUGGUGACUGAGUUAAUUGAGAUGAGGUGUGGAGGGACCUGGCUCCUGGUGAGUGAGUUAAUUGAGAUCCAUUAUGAAUUGAGAUCAGGUAUGGAGGGACUUGGCUCCUGGUGAGUGAGUUAAUUGAGACUGUUCAGUGAGUUCUCCAAACCAGCCUCCCAGGAAUGCCAUUCAACAUGGCUGUGAGGAGAAUAAAGAAGAGAGCCUGACUCCUCUCCUGAGGCCCCUUCCCCACCCUGAGCCAGCAGGAUCCACGGAGCAGAGGUCAUCUGUCCCCAGCUUGGCCCACUGAGGCCAGCAUGGCUGGGCCCAGGAUGCUUGUCUCUCAGCUCCCAUCCUGUGUACUUCCACAUUGGUUUAACCAGAGGAAAACCGAAAUCUACAAUUGUCAUAAACACAUUUAAAUGUGCGUAGAAUCAGCCAUACAAAUUGUGAAACAUACAUUUGGCUCAUGGUAUUAUUCACUGUUUUGUGGUGGUUACAGUGACUAUAGCACUCCUCCCUGACCUGUCCUCCUGCCCUAACUCCUCCCUGACCAGUCCUCCUGCCCUAACUCCUCCCUGACCGGUCCUCCAGCCCUAACUCCUCCCUGACCAGUCCUCCUGCCCUAAGCCUCCUGCCCUAACUCCUCCCUGACCAGUCCUCCUGCCCUAAGUGUCUCCUCCCUGACCGGUCCUCCUGCCCUAACUCCUCCCUGACCGGUCCUCCUGCCCUAACUCCUCCCUGACCAGUCCUCCUGCCCUAAGUCUCCUCCCUGACCGGUCCUCCUGCCCUAACUCCUCCCUGACCGGUCCUCCUGCCCUAACUCCUCUCCUCCCUGACCAGUCCUCCUGCCCUAAGUCUCCUCCCUGACCGGUCCUCCUGCCCUAAGUCUCCUCCCUGACCGGUCCUCCUCCUCCCUGACCGGUCCUCCUGCCCUAAGUCUCCUCCCUGACUGGUCCUCCUGCCCUAAGUCUCCUCCCUGACUGGUCCUCCUGCCCUAACUCCUCCCUGACUGGCCUCCAUCCAAGCAGAGCUUGAGUAUUGCUGGUUCCCUGCUCAAACCCACCACUGGUUGCUGGUUCCCUGCUCAAACCCACCACUGGCACUGGCUUCCCAUCACAUACAGAAUAAAGGCUAAAUGUCUGUGCUUGGCACAGAAAGUCAUCAACAGGCCCCAGAGCACGUUUCUGGUGUUAUCUUCUGCUAAUGCCCUGCCCUCACUCCUAUGCUGCAGCUGAAUGGAACGAGCCAUUAUCCCCUCAGGAACGCUGGCUUCUCAGUAAACGAUUAUAGCCCAGAAGCUCUGUCAUCACAGAACCUAGCUAUUGGCUAAUGGGUCAGCUUUGGCUUCAUUUCUCUGAAUAAUUUAUUUCAAAACAUAAUCCCAAGGAACAAGGUUAGGAAAAGGGGAGGGUGACAGGGACAGAGGGAGAGCCUAUGCAAAGACGUGUUAUCCAGUUGGCCCCUGCUGUGGCUGGCUGGUUGCUCAAUCCUGUAAGAUCUUCUAAGAAGCUUUAUGAGAUGUAGUGAGAACCACCUGUCCUGGGGAUGAGUCUGUCUGUCGGCUUCCAUUCCUCAUGGGUUAUGAGUUGCUCCACAGGAUUCUGGAUGUAUACAGAUGCUCUUCAUCUUAGGAAGGGGUUACGUCCCAAUAAACACGUGGUAAGUCAAAAAUACUGUAAGUCAGAAACACAUUUAAUACCCUGAUAAGCCCAUCAUAAAGUCAAACAAUUUUAAAUCCAAUCAUUGUAAGCCAGGACCAUCUGUAUACCCAAGACAUACACAAGGAUGUUCAUAGCAGCUUUAUUCAAAAUAGUGAAAAACAAAACAAUCCAAAUGCACAGCAAUAGGAAAACAGACAAAUAAAUUGUGGUAUAUUUAUA